UUUUCUUUGUUCGCAUUUUCAUCCACGCGAGUUCGUUCUUGCUGUUCUUGGCUUUUUCCCUCCACUAGAGUUUCUAGUUCUCUUUCUUCAUGCUCUUGCUGCACAAUAACGAGAGCUAAAGGCUCAGUCUUUUUCUUCUUUUGUUCUCGCUCCUUCCUUAGUUCGUGUUUCCUCUUUCUCUGCAGAAAAAACAGAGUAAAACUGUUUUAAAAUAAAAUAAAAUUACCAGCUCCUGCUCAUGUUGAGCAGCACGUAAUUGUCUAUCCUGCUUCUUGUUGUCAUUCGCCAGCAUCAAUUCCGUGUAGUGUUUUUUCCACGUUUUAAUACCUUGCAGGAUUUUUAUUUUUCGGCUCUCUUCGUCCUUGAUGUGGCUAUACUUCAUGUUCAGAAGCUUGAGCUUCUGGUUCUCCAGUCUGUGUGGCAGCACUUCAUUCUGCACCUGAUUUUCUAAAUCCUG
RNAcentral lists this long non-coding RNA (457 nucleotides) under Selaginella moellendorffii. RNAcentral's name for it is "long non-coding RNA (SMOE_LNC000299)". Lineage: Eukaryota; Viridiplantae; Streptophyta; Lycopodiopsida; Selaginellales; Selaginellaceae. The record is from RNAcentral.